UACGUAGGGGGCAAGCGUUGUCCGGAAUCAUUGGGCGUAAAGCGCGUGUAGGCGGUUCUGUAAGUCUGCUGUGAAAGUCCAGGGCUCAACCCUGGGAUGCCGGUGGAUACUGCAGGGCUAGAGUACGGAAGAGGCGAGUGGAAUUCCCGGUGUAGCGGUGAAAUGCGCAGAUAUCGGGAGGAACACCUAUUGCGAAGGCAGCUCGCUGGGACGUGACUGACGCUGAGACGCGAAAGCGUGGGGAGCAAACAGG
This 253-nucleotide ribosomal RNA is filed under the name uncultured bacterium. RNAcentral's name for it is "partial 16S ribosomal RNA". It matches the Rfam family "Bacterial small subunit ribosomal RNA", at positions 524 to 776 of the family's 1533-position model. The record is from RNAcentral.